GGUCCCGCAGAAGUGCAGCUGGCUGGCCCAUAUUGCCCAGCAAGCCCCUGUAGAUCAUCUAAACCCCAGCAGCGCAUCUUCCUCACCUGUGUGAGCAGGACGGAGGUUGGCCAGAGCUACGAUCUGGUGCCCAGCAGCAACACACUGCAUCAUGUUGUAGCAGCUGUCUUUGCCCCCACUGGAAAACAACAUGAGGAAUAGGCACAGAGCCUUGACUAACGUGGUGGUGCAAUUGACAGACCGACCUGCCUUCAGAUGGACCAACCAGCCACCUUUGCCACCAGAGCCAUGCUGCUUGUGUGACUAAAGCUAAGCAAUGGUUAACACUGAUUCAUCUGCUGGCUGUACUACCUGCCUCUCAUCUGUGGGAGUGGGGUUUGAUGCCUUCAAGUACCAGCCAGCUAUAAAAGACACAUCCUGAUGGGCCUUCCUCUGUUGUGUUUAAUAGCUGUCUCUAGCCCCCCACCCCUCCAUCCUGACCUCCGCCACCACACCCACCCUCGGUCUCUUCGCUGGCCCUUGGCUAACCCCUCAUAUUCAGGGUUCAGGGUCAGGGCAGCAGACUCCCAGCCAAUUGGGUGGUUGCCCAGAGGAGCUGAUGCAGCCAUGAGCAGCAGGAGAGACGUAAGAGACUCCUCUGAUGUUCCCAAGAAGUUCCAAAGAGGGAGCGGCUGCGGUGUGUUUACAACAUCUUUAAUUUAGGGAGAGAACGCUUACACAGAGCAUGACGAAAGAGCGGUACAGUGUAUAAAUAAGUGUCACGUAAAAAAGAAGUAUGUGACUCAAUGUAGUCAAACAGCUGAAUGAAGGCAGAUAAAAGAAUGACAUGCACAUUAAUGCUUUCUUUGAUGUGGGUCAGUGACUCGAACCCUAAUUUGUGCGCACACUGUGUUUCAUUUCAAUGUCAUGCUCUGUGUUAAAUUCUAAACACCUGAAGAUGAAAACAAUCAAAGACACAGAGGUGACAUUUCUUUAAGACUACUGGACAGUUGGGGAGAAAAUGAUUAAAAGGGAGCAAUAAAGACAAAAACUGAGAUGAGAGAAAGAAGAGACAACAUCUAAUCUCUCUAUGAAUUGUGUGUGUUAAGCUAAUUCCACAGUGAAUGCUCUCUGCUGUUCAUUUCUAUUAACAACGUCUCUUCCGGCCCUGAGAACACUGAUUCAAGAGCCUGGUAUCUGCUGCUUCCUGCUGCAGGACAAAGAGAGCACUGACAUCUAUGCACACAGACUCCUCUAGCAUUUUUAGAUCACUUGCGUGUGAAUCUUUGACUUUAUCAAUUUAUGAUGUCUGUAGUUCUUUAGUUUCCUGCGGAUAUGUAACACCAUUCAGCUGUUGUUCCGUCAUCUAGGCCACUUAUUUCCUAAGCAACUAUGAUUGCACCGCAAACCGACACAAUGGAUAUAACUCUGUUAAGGAAUGUAUUUCACAGUAAAGACAACAAUGAUACAAACAAUAACACCCACAUAGCCUACCUCCUGAAAUGGAUUAUUUGGACAAAUGUUCGCUGCUUAUGACUCUCUGAUGGCUUCAUUUUUCACUCUGUAUAACUUGCUAAUUUUUACUGCUCAAUGUCCUCCACUCAGCCCAUGUCACUAAGUCAUAAGCAUGCUGCUUCUGGCUGAUAUAUGGGUCUGCACGAUGAUGUCAGCGAAAAACACUUUCAAUAAUUGCUAUGAUUAAUAUUCUCAACCUUCCAACACCUUCCCUUCUCCAUCCAGCCCGAUAUCUCCAGCGAGGUUCAUCUAUCAGUCUGCUCUCAAACUGUUUAAGUCCUCCGAGUGAUGCAUGGCACCCUGCCAACCCCGUUUCCAAAGCAAGCUAUUUACAUUCAUUCAAAUUAUGAGUCGAUGAGCCUCCAGUGCAUAAAAUUACUAUGAGUCAAAGAGGUAAAAAGAGAGAGAGGACCAGAGUAUUUACUGUUUAAUUGUUUCAACUUCAUUGUGCAACGCCAGGGAAUCUUCCCUUUGUGUCCGUUAAAAUUAUGACAUCUGAACAUAUUUUGUUGGCCUUCUUUUCCAAACAGACUUCACUAUUAGUUAUUAAGUGAAUCAAUGUGAAUUGUACAGAUAGAAAAGUGUUUAUCCACAUUUACCCUGCUCAUGUACAUGUCCAUGAUGUCCUGCAGCUGGCUGCACUGCAUGGCUGGAAUGUGCAUGGAGCUUUCACAGGACGGGUUUCCUCUUGGCCUGCACACUAAUUGUUUAGGAGGAAAAAGGUGAAACAGAUAUGUAUAAACAGCGGAGGUCUUCCAGAAAGUCGGGAGAGGCCUAGAGGUCCUGGGACAGUAGCUGACCUGUCAUAUUCACCAUUCACACUGAGGAGUCAGGUCUGCCAUAUUCUGUCUAGUGGCGUCAGACAAAAUAAACUGUCACUUCCUCAAUGUUGAUGGACAAAUUCAUAUUCCAGUGGGAAACACUUCUCAUACACACAGGCUUUGAAUAAGUCAGGCUGUCCAGAGUAUGUAUACAGUAAUAAAACAGAUAAUGCAGUAGUGUAUAUAGUAGAUAAUUGUUCACUAAAUGAACUGUAGCCAGUCUAAAUUAAUGCUUCAAGUUCUACCCAGUAAAUAAACCUCAUGUACCCUCUGGGUCCAAAGGAAAGGUUUAGGACAUUCUGCAGUGUAUGU
Molecule: long non-coding RNA, 2627 nt
Organism: Micropterus dolomieu (smallmouth bass)
Lineage: Eukaryota; Metazoa; Chordata; Actinopteri; Centrarchiformes; Centrarchidae
Exons: 3
Source: RefSeq, a predicted model, not a curated record